GGAAGACACAUCAUUGAGUGCAGCGUUGAUGAAUUCUUUCACUUUUUGCCAACUCUAUCUCAGAUGAAUUCGCCAGCGCUGCACUCAAUCAUGUGUUUU
Molecule: microRNA precursor, 99 nt
Filed under: Theobroma cacao (cacao)
Lineage: Eukaryota; Viridiplantae; Streptophyta; Magnoliopsida; Malvales; Malvaceae
Description: MIR397 microRNA precursor family
Rfam family: MIR397 microRNA precursor family
Source: Rfam by way of RNAcentral